GCCUAAAGCGUCCGUAGCCUGAUCUAUAAGUUUCCGGUUAAAUCCAUAUGCUCAACAUUUGGGCUGCCGGAAAAACUGUAGAUCUAGGGAGUGGGAGAGGUAGACGGUACUCGACAGGAAGGGGUAAAAUCCUUUGAUCUGUUGAUGACCACCAGUGGCGAAGGCGGUCUACCAGAACACGUCCGACGGUGAGGGAUGAAAGCUGGGGGAGCAAACCGGAUUAGAUACCCGGGUAGUCCCAGCUGUAAACUAUGCAAACUCAGUGAUGCAUUGGCUUGUGGCCAGUGCAGUGCCGCAGAGAAGUCGUUAAGUUUGCCGCCUGGGAAGUACGUACGCAAGUAUGAAACUUAAAGGAAUUGGCGGGGGAGCACCACAAGGGGUGAAGCCUGCGGUUCAAUUGGAGUCAACGCCAGAAAUCUUACCCGGAGAGACAGCAGAAUGAAGGUCAAGCUGAAGACUUUACCAGACAAGCUGAGAAGUGGUGCAUGGCCGUCGCCAGCUCGUGCCGUGAGGUGUCCUGUUAAGUCAGGUAACGAGCGAGAUCCUUGCCUCUAGUUGCCACCAUUACUCUCAGGAGUAGUGGGGCGAAUUAGCGGGACUGCCGUAGUUAAUACGGAGGAAGGAGAGGGCCACGGCAGGUCAGUAUGCCCCGAA
This 654-nucleotide ribosomal RNA is filed under the name uncultured archaeon. Its description in RNAcentral is "bacterial SSU rRNA". It matches the Rfam family "Archaeal small subunit ribosomal RNA", at positions 508 to 1160 of the family's 1478-position model. The record is from RNAcentral.